RNAcentral lists this non-coding RNA (156 nucleotides) under Candidatus Omnitrophota bacterium. Its description in RNAcentral is "6S RNA". It matches the Rfam family "6S / SsrS RNA". Rfam says of the family: E. coli 6S RNA was the first non coding RNA to be sequenced, but its function was unknown until recently. It consists of 184 nucleotides that fold into an extended hairpin structure with a large single-stranded internal bulge. Lineage: Bacteria; Pseudomonadati; Candidatus Omnitrophota. The record is from RNAcentral.
UAUUCCCUGCUGUGCGCGUUAGGGUGCAUACAUAUAGAACCAAUACUCUAUAAAGGGCGCUAAACUUCUCUGGUAUCCGUGGAUAGCUGAGAGAGGUGCCCACGUGGUGACAACGGUUCACCAUAUUGUGUAUCCGACGGCAUAAGCGGGGAAUUU